CGAAAGCCUGACGGAGCAAUACCGCGUGAGGGAGGAAGGUCCUUGGAUUGUAAACCUCUUUUAUCAGGGAAGAAGUUCUGACGGUACCUGAUGAAUAAGCAUCGGCUAACUCCGUGCCAGCAGCCGCGGUAAUACGGAGGAUGCAAGCGUUAUCCGGAAUUAUUGGGCGUAAAGCGUCCGUAGGUGGUCAUGCAAGUCUGCCGUUAAAGAAUGGAGCUUAACUCCAUAGGAGCGGUGGAAACUGCAAGACUAGAGUACAGUAGGGGUAGCAGGAAUUCCCAGUGUAGCGGUGAAAUGCGUAGAUAUUGGGAAGAAC
Molecule: ribosomal RNA, 316 nt
Filed under: uncultured cyanobacterium
Lineage: Bacteria; Bacillati; Cyanobacteriota
Description: bacterial SSU rRNA
Rfam family: Bacterial small subunit ribosomal RNA
Source: RNAcentral